This 76-nucleotide transfer RNA is filed under the name Candidatus Uhrbacteria bacterium. RNAcentral's name for it is "tRNA-Pro". It matches the Rfam family "tRNA". From Rfam's summary of the family: Transfer RNA (tRNA) molecules are approximately 80 nucleotides in length. Their secondary structure includes four short double-helical elements and three loops (D, anti-codon, and T loops). The record is from RNAcentral. Lineage: Bacteria; Candidatus Uhriibacteriota.
CGGGCUAUAGCGCAGUUGGUAGCGCGCUUCGUUCGGGACGAAGAGGCCGAGGGUUCGAGUCCCUCUAGCCCGACCA